AUACGGAGGGUGCAAACGUUGUUCGGAAUUACUGGGCGUAAAGUGCGCGUAGGCGGUUUGUUAAGUCAGAUGUGAAAGUCCACAGCUCAACUGUGGAAGUGCAUUUGAAACUGGCAGACUUGAGUACUGGAGGGGGUGGUGGAAUUCCCGGUGUAGAGGUGAAAUUCGUAGAUAUCGGGAGGAAUACCGGUGGCGAAGGCGACCACCUGGCCAGAUACUGGCGCUGAGGUGCGAAAGCGUGGGGAGCAAACAGGAUUAGAAACCCCAGUAGUCC
This 274-nucleotide ribosomal RNA is filed under the name uncultured bacterium. RNAcentral describes it as "partial 16S ribosomal RNA". It matches the Rfam family "Bacterial small subunit ribosomal RNA", at positions 523 to 796 of the family's 1533-position model. The record is from RNAcentral.